Molecule: ribosomal RNA, 419 nt
Filed under: uncultured bacterium
Lineage: Bacteria
Description: bacterial SSU rRNA
Rfam family: Bacterial small subunit ribosomal RNA
Source: RNAcentral
UGGGGAAUAUUGCGCAAUGGCCGAAAGGCUGACGCAGCGACGCCGCGUGGGGGAUGAAGCAUUUCGGUGUGUAAACCCCUGUUGCCCGGGACGAACAAGCAGAUUUUUCUGCUCUGACGGUACCGGGUGAGGAAGCACCGGCUAACUCCGUGCCAGCAGCCGCGGUAAUACGGAGGGUACGAGCGUUGUCCAGAAUCACUGGGCGUAAAGGGCGCGUAGGCGGGCAUGUAAGUCAGUGGUGAAAUACCGGAGCUUAACUUCGGAACUGCCAUUGAUACUAUAUGUCUUGAAUAUUGUGGAGGUAAGCGGAAUAUGUCAUGUAGCGGUGAAAUGCAUAGAUAUGACAUAGAACACCGAUUGCGGAGGCAGCUUGCUACGCAAAUAUUGACGCUGAGGCACGAAAGCGUGGGGAUCAAACA